RNAcentral lists this ribosomal RNA (492 nucleotides) under uncultured bacterium. RNAcentral describes it as "partial 16S ribosomal RNA". It matches the Rfam family "Bacterial small subunit ribosomal RNA", at positions 29 to 507 of the family's 1533-position model. The record is from RNAcentral.
AGUGAACGCUGGCGGUAGGCCUAACACAUGCAGGUCGAACGGCAGCACAGUAAGAGCUUGCUCUUACGGGUGGCGAGUGGCGGACGGGUGAGGAAUACAUCGGAAUCUACUUUUUCGUGGGGGAUAACGUAGGGAAACUUACGCUAAUACCGCAUACGACCUACGGGUGAAAGCAGGGGAUCUUCGGACCUUGCGCGAUUGAAUGAGCCGAUGUAGGAUUAGCUAGUUGGCGGGGUAAAGGCCCACCAAGGCGACGAUCCGUAGCUGGUCUGAGAGGAUGAUCAGCCACACUGGAACUGAGACACGGUCCAGACUCCUACGGGAGGCAGCAGUGGGGAAUAUUGGACAAUGGGCGCAAGCCUGAUCCAGCCAUACCGCGUGGGUGAAGAAGGCCUUCGGGUUGUAAAGCCCUUUUGUUGGGAAAGAAAAGCAGCAGGUUAAUACCCCGCUGUUCUGACGGUACCCAAAGAAUAAGCACCGGCUAACUUCGUG